RNAcentral lists this long non-coding RNA (436 nucleotides) under Salmo salar (Atlantic salmon). Its description in RNAcentral is "lncRNA (ENSSSAG00000101637.1)". The record is from RNAcentral. Lineage: Eukaryota; Metazoa; Chordata; Actinopteri; Salmoniformes; Salmonidae.
UGUCUUGAACGCAAUAACAAAACAGAGGAUAUUUGAACAUAACUAUGGAUUAUUUUGAACCAAAACAACAUUUGUGGAUGAAGUAGAAGUCCUGGGAGUGCAUUCUGACGAAGAACAGCAAAGCUCCUCUGUCAGAAACAACUUGAAGCACAAUGCCUCAGAUGGAAAUGCCAAGGGGCGUUGCACUCCAGACUGGGACUCAUCAAAGCAAACAGCAGGGCCAGGAGGGGUGAAAUGGCUGGCAGCCUUCCAGCUACCACAGAACUCCUGUACUUCAUCCACUGUCGGUCUGCCUCCAUCACCACCAGCAUCUUCAAUGGGGAAUAGGACUUUGUCAGUGGACAAGGGGUCCUCAGAUUCAGGGUUCUCAAUGGCUGGGAGGCAGCUCCUCACUGUCACUGUCAAAAUCUGAUUCCUGAAAUUCCAGAGUUUCCGC